AGCCUUUUCAGAGUUGGAAAUCAGUCAAAUCCUAGUAGUAGCUAGGAUUUAAAGGGAUGGAGGAGGUGUCCUGUUGAUGUCUCUUUUUCCUUCAACAUCAACAAGAAAACCCAAGGUCUUUUUUUCUUAGAGAGGCGUAUUGCUACAUUUGGGGCAAUGCGUACAUAUGUGGUUUCGUUAGCUCCAGCGGGGGCUAAUCCUCUGACAGAGCCACCUCUCACACGAAACACUGAAUGGAGGCGAUCCCGAGAUGGAUGGAGCAGCAGCAGCGCAGGUUGCUGCAGGACAGGACUAAUGGGAAGAUUGGAUGGGAUAAUGGAUCUCCUAAAGUAUCACACACCUAUAGCAACACGCAAACAAAGGAUACCAAUAAAGUAAUACUAUCGUGAAAGGUAUUAGAAAAUGUGAGGUGCUAUACAAAUACCAGUUAUUACAGAUAAGUACCACAGAAUUUGGAGUGCACCUAUGUUGAGCCCUAGCUAUUUCACUUACUAUAAAAUCAAUGUAUCCUCACUGUGUCUUCAGUGAAAUGUAAAAUGGAGUCUGUAUAGGGGUUAGGAACACAGACUCUAGAGUUUGACUGCCUGAGUUUAAAUACCAACUCUACUAUUUACUAGCUGUGUGACCUUAGGUAAAUUACUGAAUCCUUCUGUGUCUCAAUUUUCUCAUUAGUAAAAUGGGAUCAAUGUGAAGAUUAAAUGAGUUAAUGCAUAUAAAGCCCGUAGAAGAGUGCCUCUCUCAAAGUAACCCUAUAUACAUGUUUGCUGUUUCAACUGCAUAAUAAUAUUAAAAGAUUUUUUUCAAUCUUU
RNAcentral lists this long non-coding RNA (809 nucleotides) under Homo sapiens (human). RNAcentral's name for it is "HSALNT0327695". Lineage: Eukaryota; Metazoa; Chordata; Mammalia; Primates; Hominidae. The record is from RNAcentral.